CCCUUAGAUGUCCUGGGCCGCACGCGCGUUACACUGAUGCAUUCAACGAGCUUAUAACCUUGGCCGAGAGGCCUGGGCAAUCUUGUUAACGUGCAUCGUGAUAGGGAUAGAUUAUUGAAAUUAUUAAUCUUGAACGAGGAAUUCCUAGUAAACGCAGAUCAUCAAUCUGCAUUGAUUACGUCCCUGCCCUUUGUACACACCGCCCGUCGCACCUACCGAUUGGAUGGUCCGGUGAAGCCUCGGGAUUGUGGUUCUUGCCGCUUUAUUGUGGCGUGACCGCGUGAACUUGUCUAAACCUUAUCAUCUAGAGGAAGGUGAAGUCGUAACA
This 328-nucleotide ribosomal RNA is filed under the name uncultured eukaryote. RNAcentral describes it as "partial 18S ribosomal RNA". It matches the Rfam family "Eukaryotic small subunit ribosomal RNA", at positions 1470 to 1796 of the family's 1831-position model. The record is from RNAcentral.